Molecule: non-coding RNA, 5023 nt
Organism: Phalacrocorax carbo (great cormorant)
Lineage: Eukaryota; Metazoa; Chordata; Aves; Suliformes; Phalacrocoracidae
Source: RefSeq, a predicted model, not a curated record
CAUCCUGUCCUGUCCUGCCAGGGCCCCAAGGUGAGAUACAAGCCCACGUGUCCACCCAUACCCGCUGCUGCCAAGUCCCUGCCUUCUCCUUGUCCCCCGUCACAAAGAGCUGUGGAUGAAUGAAGCCAGCGAGGGUGUUGCGAAACCGGGAAAUCCACUGCUUUUAGGGAAUGGCUUAUCUGGAAACUGCCUCAUGCGCUGGAGAAGCCUGGGUUCAUGGCAGAAGCAUGCUUUAGCGUUUGGAGGUGCUUGGGAAAAAGGGGGUCGGACGUAAAAGAACAGCAUCCCUGGGCAGUGGGACUGCAAGGCUUUCACCCGUGCUUUGGGGAGCACCCUGCGUCCUGCAGCGACAGCCACUGGAAUGGGACAUCAUUGCCAGGUGGGAGUCCAGAGCAAGAAAGGCAGCCGGAACAGCCAUGCUGGAGGUCUGUGGUCUCAGUGCCCGGCCAUGAUACAUAAGAAUGGAGCAGGGGAAUUGCAGGGAGUCUCCAGAGCCUCUCCUCUGCUUGCCACUGUCUGCAUUUGAGGAUGUCCUGGGUCUGACUUGGUGUCCCUGUAUUUAAGGGCCGUCCUCAGACUACACACGCACCUCUCUCCUGAGCCUCCUGCCCCAAGACCUGCCUGACCAUCAGCUCUGUGCCACCCAUAACCUGUCCUCUACAGCGUCGGCCACAUGUUGCCUUGGUGGGCACUUGGGCUGGCCAACGGCAACCAGAGCUUUGCUGCUCACCUGCCUGAGCACAUGCCUGUUAACACAUGUAAAGCAAACAGACCCUCUGCCCGAGGUGGGUUUUAUUUGAAAUGUUCCUCUGGUGAGGAUUAACUCCUGACACUGCUAUUAAUAUGGGAAAAGACUGCAUUUUUCUGGGAGAUGUUGGAUUUACCCAGGAACGUGACGCUUUCUCCUGCCUUGGAUCCCCCACAUCACUGACUGACCAUGUUGCAGUUCUUAUGCCUCGAUGAGACUUAUCCUGGAUUAUUAUUUAGCUGCCAAUUAAUCUUAAGAGUGAUGUAAAGGCUUUGAACUGCUGUUUGAAGAUUGAGUGGAUGAUUUCUGCUCUUGUCAAAGGAAGACGGAUUUGGAGAGUCAUCACAGUGCUGAGUGACAGCUCAGACAUCUCAUCGAUCGCUGCUGCUGAUGGCCACGUGGCAUCUGGUGGAGCUGUGACGCCAAGCUCCCAACCGCUCGCACUUCCCCAGCUGGGGAUAUUUUGCAGACAAGCGGUGCUGCUCCCCAAAAUCUCCAGCCAAAAACCAGGAAGAAACUGCAUACCCCUCGGGAUUGAAUCCCACAGAAGAUGCUCUUUUCUGCAUGCAGGUCUCUUGUUCCUGCCCACAGGGCACGCAGUGAAUUAUGGUUAGCCCUUGAGAACCUGCAUCAUCUUUUAAAAAUACAUUUUUUGACUUCUCUGCGCUUGCCAGGACCAAGGGUGGGUCCAUAGAGGGCUGGUGGGUUUGUCCGCUGCUGCACUGAUUUAGCAAAGGGUGGGGAUGAAAGCCCUGAAGCCUCCAGCUGAGGCUGCAGAGAUUUUUUUGGCUUGAGUUUCCUCAAAUUCUGUCCAUCACAAAGUGAACAAACACUAUUGGCUAGGAGCAGCUUAAAGCUGGAGGCAGGUGGCAAAGGGGUUGAGCAUCGAUUGCUGGCUGCUGGGCAAGACCCGACCAAAACCCCACCGGUGUCAGGAGGCAACUCCAUCCCUCACAGCUUCCGAAUAUCGGGCUGGGAAGAAAAACCAACCUGCUUGGAAAGCAAUCGUUUGACAUCAUGCCAUUAGACUUCAGACACCCAUCACCGCCAGUAACAACCCCGAGCAGGCAGCCUGGUGAACCUCAGCGUGUUUUGGCUUUAAUCUGACCUGGGUUUGUGAUGCUCUGAAGACGGCGUCGUCCAUCACUGCCUGGGGAGGUGGAGAAGGGGAGGGGAGGUGAAACUCCUCUCCCUCACCCUCCACUGCUCCCCUCGCCACUGCUUUAUCUCUUCAGAAGCUGGAUUUGAGUACAAUUCACUUUGUUAUUAAUUUCUUUUACACAGAGGCUUUUAAAGUGCCUGGGAGUGGGGGCUCGUGUCAUGGAGACGCUUUACAGCCCAGCAGCUGUAAUACUUAAGUGCUGUUUAAAUAGCCAGCUCAUCUAAAAGUAAUAGGCAAAGAUGUGAGAGCUUGCCAGAGCAGCAAAGUGGUGUGGGCCUGUUUGAACAGGCCAUAUGGAGGUGAUUUUGGAGAGCAGGGCUUCUUCCACAGCAGCUGCCUGGGUCGCAUCAGGGAUGGGAUCACAUCACCCUUGCACCGCCUUGGAGCUCUGCUGCCCCGGGGACUCGGUGCACCCCGGCGAUGGUCCAGCUCGCUGACACGGGCAGAUCACGCCUGGGUGGCUGUGGCCCACGGGUGUCCUUUCACCAGAUGACCUGUCUUGGUGCAACUAGGUUCCUCAAUGCUCCUGCCUGCUGGAGGAGCAGUCUGCACCCCUGUGGUGGUCCUUCCUUGGCUGUGUGGGUCCCCCGUGCCGGCAAUCCCCAGGGGAGCCCCCACACAAUGUGGAAGCCACGAGGCUGCAUUCUGAGCUGGAGGAAGGCCAGCGGAGGGGCCACAGCCUGGGAAGCCCCUGGGUGGGGAUGCUGAGGGUAUCCCGAGGUGCCACUGUCCCCCUACCCUGGUCCAUCCUGCCAUGGCAUGUGGUGGCGCUGGGGAAACAGAUGCACUGGGACCCUUCACGUGGGUCUUAUUUGCUUUUAAUCUGGUAGCUAAAUUGUAUUCUUCCCAAAUGUAAUGAAUGAGAGGUUUAAUCAAACCCAGCCAGCCAGCACUGAUGGGAUCUUAGUGGCAGAAGAAAAUAUUGCAUUUUUGUUUGCUUAUCUCCCCUUAUGCUCCCUUGGAGAUGUCCUGGCUCUUGCAGGGGCUCCUCGUGCUCAGUGGCACUGGGGGGCGCAGGCUUUGCUCGGCUGCUAACUGGAGCACUGCACUGUAUGUGAGGCCACCGCGGCAGGACUGCUGCCAGCCCACCUGCUUCCAGCCCCUCUCCUUGGCCAAGUGUCCGGGUGGCAGCGGCGAGACCGGUCUCCUGUUACACCUCUCCUCAAGCCCUUUGUUCAGGAAGAGGGUCUCACUUGGUACCUCACAGAGGGUCCACCCAUCCCAGGAGCUGGUGUUGGGUUCAAGCCUUCCACCCCAGGUUUCCUAUCAUCCACAACAGCACCGGGAGCUGGUCUUACAGUAUCUCCAGGUCUUGGUGGUGGGGAAGCUGAGCACCUCCGCAGUCUGGAAACAAGCCAUGGGCAAGGGCGUGAGUGGGGAUAAAGCCACCAGGCUUCACUGACUCUGAAUUAGGGGGGCAAAGCACCCCCUGACAUCCAGCUGGUCAGUGCAACUGUGUGGGAUGCUGCAGCCGGGAACCAAGGGGAGACACUGCCUUUUCCCUGCUCGUCAGAGCUCUCGAAACCCACCGGCUCCCGGUGCGGGGCCGGCUGCUCCCAGCGAUGUGGCUCCACUGCUGCCUUUCUCCAGAGCCUUUCUCAGUCGAGGCUCUUCCAGAAAUAGAUUGCAUGCACCAAGCAGCUGGCUCUGCAAAUAGCUCACCUCCUGAAGCAGAGGAGGCAGCGCAGUUGGAGCCUUGUCCCCCAUGGCCCUUCCAUGCUCCUGAGCACCUCGGCACGAGCUCCAGCAUGCAGAGACCCUCCGCUUCCCCCAGGACACCUCUGCUGGCUGGGAAGAGGGGAUGUGCCGGGGUCCUUUGUGUCCAGGCAGUCGUGUCCCGGAUCGGGGGAUCCCCAGCUUUGCUGCAGGAGCUGGCCGACGGCUCUUUCAGUCGCAUGCAUCCCACCUCCCCGCAGAGAAGGAUGGCUGGUGGCUUCCAAGAGCAGGGCAGGUGGCCCAGAGGACACAGCACAUGGCCCUGCUGCCACAGCAGCGGGCACUGCUGUCUCCAGCUGCAGCACUCUGCCUUGUGUCCCUUCUUAUGUGUUUAUUAUGCCAUCGUAAAGGGGGGGAACGCAAUUUUUUUAUGUAGGCUUAACUGAUUUAUUAAUAGUCUGUAAUGCCAGUAAUAGCUCAUCUAUAAAUCUGUUCUUAAGAAUUUAUAGGGCAAAUAUUCCAGCGCCAUAUUAAAGACACAACUCAUAGAUGCCUGUAAGCACCAGCCUGGCGGCUUCGGCAGCAGGAGACGGUUAUCCUGGGGGAGGGAGAGGCGGUGAGAUCUCCCCAGUGGCUUCCACUCAGAGCCUUGAAAAUCUUUGGGAAGCAAGUUAUUUUAGGGACUGUCCCCUCCAGCCAGGAGGUGCCUGUGGCCUCCCGCUCGGUGCUGUGUGGGCACGGAGCCCAGGGAGGGUGUCAGCACCAUCCGGACGCCGAAGUGCUGCUCCCACCCCUGCGGGCUCCCGGCCCGCCCCCCCCAGCACCCUCCCUGGGGACCCCCGCAAUCUGCCAUCGCCUCGUCCCUGCCCCAGGGUGACAGUAUUUACUGCUGAAGUGCGCCGAGUGUAAUUGCUAAUCAGAUACAGGCAAUCAAUUCAUCCCCCCACUGCUGCCUCGGAGAGGGGCUGCCUUUCCCUGCUGAAGGUGACUCCUGCAGGAAUUCAGAUUUAAAGAUAAAGGCCAUAAUCAUCAGAAGUUCAUUAAAUUAGCAUCAGGCUCAUUUGCACUCAGCAAGGGGAUGAGGUGGAGGGUGUCUCUGCCUGCCUCCCCUGCCCUCGGUCCUGGGGUGUCCGCAGGAGAUGCCUUCAGCGGGAUGAGGCUCUGAGCGCUGCCAGGAGCCCUCCCUGAUUUACUCCUCCCGUCCCAGGGCUGCUGCAGUCAUGAGUCAACAGUGCAGUAUAUUUAAACGCAAAAAUACCAUUAUCCUUCAUUAAAAGCUCUGUCAUCACCCAGCCUGCACAGGAAAGAGUUAUUACGGCAUUAUGCUCCCAGUGACACAUGGCUUCCCUGGCCCUCCAGCAUCCACGGUGGUGCACGCCGGCUGUGCCAGGUGCCCGUGGUGGGCCAGCUGUGUGUGGCUGGGGGCUCUGCUGUGUGAGGUAGCUGACAUCCAAUCU